GCGGCCUAAACAUGCAAGUCGAGCGGUAGCACAGAGAGCUUGCUCUCGGGUGACGAGCGGCGGACGGGUGAGUAAUGUCUGGGAAACUGCCUGAUGGAGGGGGAUAACUACUGGAAACGGUAGCUAAUACCGCAUAAUGUCGCAAGACCAAAGUGGGGGACCUUCGGGCCUCAUGCCAUCAGAUGUGCCCAGAUGGGAUUAGCUAGUAGGUGGGGUAACGGCUCACCUAGGCGACGAUCCCUAGCUGGUCUGAGAGGAUGACCAGCCACACUGGAACUGAGACACGGUUCCAGACUCCUACGGGAGGCAGCAGUGGGGAAUAUUGCACAAUGGGCGCAAGCCUGAUGCAGCCAUGCCGCGUGUGUGAAGAAGGCCUUCGGGUUGUAAAGCACUUUCAGCGGGGAGGAAGGCGUUAAGGUUAAUAACCUUGGCGAUUGACGUUACCCGCAGAAGAAGCACCGGCUAACUCCGUGCCAGCAGCCGCGGUAAUACGGAGGGUGCAAGCGUUAAUCGGAAUUACUGGGCGUAAAGCGCACGCAGGCGGUCUGUCAAGUCGGAUGUGAAAUCCCCGGGCUCAACCUGGGAACUGCAUUCGAAACUGGCAGGCUAGAGUCUUGUAGAGGGGGGUAGAAUUCCAGGUGUAGCGGUGAAAUGCGUAGAGAUCUGGAGGAAUACCGGUGGCGAAGGCGGCCCCCUGGACAAAGACUGACGCUCAGGUGCGAAAGCGUGGGGAGCAAACAGGAUUAGAUACCCUGGUAGUCCACGCCGUAAACGAUGUCGAUUUGGAGGUUGUGCCCUUGAGGCGUGGCUUCCGGAGCUAACGCGUUAAAUCGACCGCCUGGGGAGUACGGCCGCAAGGUUAAAACUCAAAUGAAUUGACGGAGGGCCCGCACAAGCGGUGGAGCAUGUGGUUUAAUUCGAUGCAACGCGAAGAACCUUACCUGGUCUUGACAUCCACAGAACUUAACAGAGAUGGUUUGGUGCCUUCGGGAACUGUGAGACAGGUGCUGCAUGGCUGUCGUCAGCUCGUGUUGUGAAAUGUUGGGUUAAGUCCCGCAACGAGCGCAACCCUUAUCCUUUGUUGCCAGCGGUUAGGCCGGGAACUCAAAGGAGACUGCCAGUGAUAAACUGGAGGAAGGUGGGGAUGACGUCAAGUCAUCAUGGCCCUUACGACCAGGGCUACACACGUGCUACAAUGGCAUAUACAAAGAGAAGCGACCUCGCGAGAGCAAGCGGACCUCAUAAAGUAUGUCGUAGUCCGGAUUGGAGUCUGCAACUCGACUCCAUGAAGUCGGAAUCGCUAGUAAUCGUAGAUCAGAAUGCUACGGUGAAUACGUUCCCGGGCCUUGUACACACCGCCCGUCACACCAUGGGAGUGGGUUGCAAAAGAAGUAGGUAGCUUAACCUUCGGGAGGGCGCUUACCCACUUGAUCCGG
This 1436-nucleotide ribosomal RNA is filed under the name Klebsiella pneumoniae. Its description in RNAcentral is "bacterial SSU rRNA". It matches the Rfam family "Bacterial small subunit ribosomal RNA". The record is from RNAcentral. Lineage: Bacteria; Pseudomonadati; Pseudomonadota; Gammaproteobacteria; Enterobacterales; Enterobacteriaceae.